This is a long non-coding RNA of Helianthus annuus (common sunflower), 398 nucleotides long. RefSeq lists it as uncharacterized. The record is from RefSeq and is a predicted model, not a curated record. Lineage: Eukaryota; Viridiplantae; Streptophyta; Magnoliopsida; Asterales; Asteraceae. The transcript has 3 exons.
AAGCAAGAGAAAAAGGGGAUGAACCCUAAUUCAACAAAACCUUCAAAUUGGAGGAUCAAACGAAGGCCAAAUUCAGAUUGGAAUAUAUAUAAACGAUCACCAAGUCAAGGGGAUCGUAAGUUGGCGCUUAACAAGCUAGGUGAAGCUUGGGGAGAAAGCGGGUCGAUCGAAUCAAGUAUGAAAAGAAAAGCGUAAUCUGGAUGUGAGGUAAAAUCUAGUACUAGAGGAUGGUCAAGCUCAAUGAAGAACCAAACACGAUCAAGAAACAAGCUUCCGCACGUCGCUACUUAGUUUUUUUUACGACAACUCAAUUAGACUAUGUUGUAUAACUUUUAAAUUAUGAAAGUUUUAAUAAACUCGUAGUGUCAUACGUAUGUGUAAUUGUAUAAACAUGUAUU